CAUAGUCGUGAUCCCAAGCGAGUCAUCAUUGUUUAUGAAAGAAGUUUAGAAGGUGUAUACGUUGUCUUGUUGCCAAUGCGAAAUUCAGUGGUGUGGAAAAUGGUUGGUAGAAAGGUCUUUCCUAACCACUUGCCAAUUCCUUGAUUAUCAGCAAGACGCCUCCCGAAUCACACAACUCGCAAUAAUAUAAGUAUGAAAGAUCACCGAGGAUCGGAGUUCACAUGCUUGUAUAAGAAUUACGUAACACGUUGUACAACGGUUAAAUAAAGACAGCCAAAUCGCUUGGGAAUCAUUUAUCGACAAAUCGCGAAACUGGAAACACGAUGAUGGUUAUACAAUCGUAUUGUGGCGUAAGAUUCUACGUCUUGAUACUAUUUCUACUAAGCAGUUAUGUUAGUAUUUGCGGCAGUGCCCCGGCUGGAAAUGCGGAUAUUUUUGAAAAUUCGACUCGCCCAGAAAUCCACGUACUUCAAGGAAAUAUCCAAGGUGUAAAUCUGGUCACGCGCCGCAACAGGAUAUUCUUCGGUUUUAAAGGAAUCCCAUUCGCCCAACCGCCGAUUGGAAAUCUCAGAUUCAAGGGACCCGUACCAGCAGGAGCGUGGAAUGGUACUUUAGAUGGUAGCAUCGAUUCCCCCCCAUGUCCUCAGCUGGAGGGUACAGUGUUCAUCGGAGAUGAGGACUGUCUAUAUCUCAACGUGUAUACACCACGGCUUCCUACCGGUGACAACUUUACCUUACUACCAGUAAUGCUCUUUGCCUAUGGCGGUGGACACAAAACAGGAACGAAUAAUCCCAAACGAUGGGGACCUCAAUUCAUCCUUGAUAAAGAUGUCGUCCUGUUAGUUCCUAACUACCGUAUGGGUCCUUUAGGAUAUCUCAGUACGGGAGAUGAAGUAUCACCUGGUAAUUACGGUCUCAAGGACCUAGUUCGAGCUUUGGAAUGGACUCGAGACAACGUUCGUUAUUUUGGUGGUGAUCCCAAUCAAGUCACUGUUCACGGAGGAAGUUCAGGGGCCGCGUGCGUUCAUCUCUUGACGAUGUCGAAUUCAACGAAUGGACUUUUUCAUCGAUAUAUCCUGCAAAGUGGAAACGCGCUCGGGUUGUUAUUUCCACAUACGAAAACGCAGAGCGCAAAAUAUGCUGCUAAGCUUGGAGAACAUCUUGGUUGCCCGACUAAUACCUCUAUUGCCCUUGUUAACUGUCUGAGAACUUUUAACGCGUCCCAACUUGUCGAUACGACGUCUGUGUUCACCGAGUGGUUCGUAUUUCCGUAUGUUAUAUGGAGUCCAAGUAUCGAACCAGAAACAGAAGAAGCAUUCAUAACGGAUACUCCGAGGAACUUGUAUGCUCGCGGAAUGGUCCGUGAUCUGCCGUCGAUAAACCUGGUUGUUCGCGAUGAAGGAAUUGUCUUUAGUGCCUUAUUUCUCAACCGACAAGACUUGAUCAAUGAGUUUUUGGACAAGUUGCAUAUUGUUCUACCUUACGUCUUACAAUAUGAGAAUGAUAUUGACAAUAUGACUGUUUUCGCUGAUGCCGUCAAGUCAUACUACUUUAACAAUCUGACCGUCGAUCAAAACAUAAUAUUCAAUAAUUUUUCGCUAUUCCUGAGUGAUCUUACCGUCACAUAUUUUUCGCACAAAACUAUCCAGGAAAAAGCUCUUCAUACUAAAAGCCCCCAGUAUUUUUGCUCAUUCAACUACCGGGGUACAGUCAGUUACAGCUAUUUCUUCAGUGGAGGGGAUACUGUGAACAUGGGUGUAGCACACGGUGAUGAGCUUCUCUAUCUUCUUCCGGGACCGAAGUCUCAGUUUGGACCUCCAGGCUACGAAUUUAGCGAGGCCGAUUGGAAAAUGGUGGACACGAUGGUCCAGCUGUGGACAUCCUUUGCAGCUACCGGAACACCGACAACUUUGGAUGGCAGUACAACUUGGAUGCCAUAUUCACGUUCCCUCGAUAAUUACCUCCAAAUAGGAGAUGGUUCUGACACAACUCUUCAAAUGAAGCAUGGUUAUUCUGUUGACCGAUUUCGAUUUUUGGACGAACUUUUAGCCGCUGUAAAUUUGCACUAGCUACGGGACUUCGUAUUUCACGAUUACAAUUCACUUUUGAAGGGAUUUGAUGCUGUAAAGAUACAAGUAUUGCAAAUACACAUAUCUGAAUAAAGCAUUUCAAGUGUAAGAUAUUCGUGUAUCACGGACAUAUGAGAAAACAUACAAGGCGUGAGUUCAUCAUAGAGGCCAAGCAGGACGUGUAGCUCCGUCCAUAUCUGUAGCCAAUGAGUUAUCGCUUCUUAAACGAUGUGAUCCGCCGCCAAUGGCAGCUCCACACUCGUUACAAUUGCUUUCUUCCAUGGCACCUCCACAAUCUCCUAUAAUGUAAAUAUGUCCAUUCGGACACUUGAACCAAUGGCCUUGUUUGUAGCCCAUUGCUUUAACAAUCAUCUUACGCUCGUUAUCCAUCAGGAUGACUUUUUUCAUAUCUAAUAAUGGUGCAAGCAGAUGUAUCUGGUUUUUAAUAUCCAAUUCUCUUUCUUCAGUAAAUUUAUGAACACUUGUCAGUUUCUCUACUAAAUUUAUGAAAUCUAUUUCAUGUUCCACGGUGUCAUUAUGCUGGAAGACGAUCUGAAGAUUCAUCUUACAAAUUUCAGCCUGUAAAAUACAUAACAAAUGAAAAUGUAAACCAAAUAAAGAAAUCCUUCAAACUAAAA
RNAcentral lists this unclassified non-coding RNA (2707 nucleotides) under Neodiprion pinetum (white pine sawfly). RNAcentral's name for it is "esterase E4-like, transcript variant X2". Lineage: Eukaryota; Metazoa; Arthropoda; Insecta; Hymenoptera; Diprionidae. The record is from RNAcentral.